RNAcentral lists this ribosomal RNA (301 nucleotides) under uncultured bacterium. Its description in RNAcentral is "partial 16S ribosomal RNA". It matches the Rfam family "Bacterial small subunit ribosomal RNA", at positions 509 to 807 of the family's 1533-position model. The record is from RNAcentral.
CAGUCGCCGCGGUAGUACGAAGGGUGCAAGCGUUAAUCGGAAUUACUGGGCGUAAAGCGUGCGUAGGCGGUGAGUUAAGUCUGCUGUGAAAUCCCCGGGCUCAACCUGGGAAUGGCAGUGGAUACUGGCUCGCUAGAGUGUGUCAGAGGAUGGUGGAAUUCCCGGUGUAGCGGUGAAAUGCGUAGAGAUCGGGAGGAACAUCAGUGGCGAAGGCGGCCAUCUGGGACAACACUGACGCUGAGGCACGAAAGCGUGGGGAGCAAACAGGAUUAGAUACCCGCGUAGUCCCUGUCUCUUAUAC